Molecule: ribosomal RNA, 253 nt
Filed under: uncultured bacterium
Lineage: Bacteria
Description: partial 16S ribosomal RNA
Rfam family: Bacterial small subunit ribosomal RNA
Source: RNAcentral
UACGUAGGGUGCGAGCGUUGUCCGGAAUUAUUGGGCGUAAAGAGCUCGUAGGCGGUGUGUCACGUCGAUCGUGAAAACUUGGGGCUUAACUCUGAGCUUGCGGUCGAUACGGGCAUCACUGGAGUUCGGCAGGGGAGACUGAAUUCCUGGUGUAGCGGUGAAAUGCGCGGAUAUCAGGAGGAACACCGGUGGCGAAGGCGGGUCUCUGGGCCGAUACUGACGCUGAGGAGCGAAAGCGUGGGGAGCAAACAGG